UUUCUUACAAGUGAUUCUUACAAGAAAAUCUGCUACCUAUCAUCUACUCGAUUUCAUCAUCUUCUCUUCUCAUCCUUCACCAUAUCCAUCGAAUUCAUCCCUCCACCAUCACUCGCCAUCGAUCCGCCAAGCCACCAUCAUCAAACCAUCAUCACGAUCAUAAGCCAUCAUCACUUCAUUAAUCCGAUCACCAUAUCACCGUCUUCGACUCGAUCCUCAAGCCAUCAUCACCAUCGCAUCGGCCAUCACCACCCCAUCACUUCAUCGUUGUGAUCUGUCCAUAAAAUCGCAG
Molecule: long non-coding RNA, 292 nt
Filed under: Eutrema salsugineum
Lineage: Eukaryota; Viridiplantae; Streptophyta; Magnoliopsida; Brassicales; Brassicaceae
Description: long non-coding RNA (ESAL_LNC001597)
Source: RNAcentral